ACGACCAAAGGCAAACCCCUCGCAAGGGGGGGACGCAAAGCCACGGGGCCCACAGGGCCGGCCGGGUUACCGAAA
This 75-nucleotide non-coding RNA is filed under the name Deinococcus gobiensis. RNAcentral's name for it is "c-di-GMP sequence". It matches the Rfam family "c-di-GMP-I riboswitch aptamer". From Rfam's summary of the family: GEMM was predicted in a large-scale screen for bacterial structured RNA regulatory elements. Genes associated with GEMM are involved in a diverse array of functions, including chemotaxis regulation, signal transduction, secretion and chitin. Lineage: Bacteria; Thermotogati; Deinococcota; Deinococci; Deinococcales; Deinococcaceae. The record is from RNAcentral.